AUUGAACGCUGGCGGCAGGCCUAACACAUGCAAGUCGAGCGGAUGAAGGGAGCUUGCUCCUGGAUUCAGCGGCGGACGGGUGAGUAAUGCCUAGGAAUCUGCCUGGCAGUGGGGGAUAACGUCCGGAAACGGGCGCUAAUACCGCAUACGUCCUGAGGGAGAAAGUGGGGGAUCUUCGGACCUCACGCUAUCAGAUGAGCCUAGGUCGGAUUAGCUAGUUGGUGGGGUAAAGGCCUACCAAGGCGACGAUCCGUAACUGGUCUGAGAGGAUGAUCAGUCACACUGGAAGGGAGACACGGUCCAGACUCCUACGGGAGGCAGCAGUGGGGAAUAUUGGACAAUGGGCGAAAGCCUGAUCCAGCCAUGCCGCGGGUGGGAAGAAGGUCUUCGGAUUGUAAAGCACUUUAAGUUGGGAGGAAGGGCAGUAAGUUAAUACCUGGCUGGGUUGACGUUACCAACAGAAGAAGCACCGGCUAACUACGUG
This 484-nucleotide ribosomal RNA is filed under the name uncultured bacterium. RNAcentral's name for it is "partial 16S ribosomal RNA". It matches the Rfam family "Bacterial small subunit ribosomal RNA", at positions 29 to 507 of the family's 1533-position model. The record is from RNAcentral.